Molecule: ribosomal RNA, 253 nt
Filed under: uncultured bacterium
Lineage: Bacteria
Description: partial 16S ribosomal RNA
Rfam family: Bacterial small subunit ribosomal RNA
Source: RNAcentral
UACGGAGGGGGCUAGCGUUGUUCGGAAUUACUGGGCGUAAAGCGCGCGUAGGCGGCUUGCCAAGUUGGGGGUGAAAUCCCGGGGCUUAACCCCGGAAUUGCCUUCAAAACUGGCAGGCUUGAGGCCGAGAGAGGUAAGGGGAAUUCCUAGUGUAGAGGUGAAAUUCGUAGAUAUUAGGAAGAACACCGGUGGCGAAGGCGCCUUACUGGCUCGGACCUGACGCUGAGGUGCGAAAGCGUGGGGAGCAAACAGG